Molecule: unclassified non-coding RNA, 358 nt
Filed under: soil metagenome
Description: partial contains 5.8S ribosomal RNA, internal transcribed spacer 2, and large subunit ribosomal RNA
Rfam family: 5.8S ribosomal RNA (bases 1-120)
Source: RNAcentral
GAUGAAGAACGUAGCGAAAUGCGAUAAGUAAUGUGAACUGCAGAAUUCAGUGAAUCAUCGAAUCUUUGAACGCACAUUGCGCCCGUCAGUAUUCUGGCGGGCAUGCCUGUUCGAGCGUCAUUACGCCCCUCAAGUCCCCUGUGGACUUGGUGUUGGGGAUCGGCGAGGCUGGUUUUCCAGCACAGCCGUCCCUUAAAUUAAUUGGCGGUCUCGCCGUGGCCCUCCUCUGCGCAGUAGUAAAACACUCGCAACAGGAGCCCGGCGCGGUCCACUGCCGUAAAACCCCCCAACUUUUUAUAGUUGACCUCGAAUCAGGUAGGACUACCCGCUGAACUUAAGCAUAUCAAUAAGCGGAGGA